Molecule: ribosomal RNA, 253 nt
Filed under: uncultured bacterium
Lineage: Bacteria
Description: partial 16S ribosomal RNA
Rfam family: Bacterial small subunit ribosomal RNA
Source: RNAcentral
UACGUAGGGAGCAAGCGUUGUCCGGAAUCAUUGGGCGUAAAGCGCGCGUAGGCGGCCCUGUAAGUCCGUUGUGAAAGUCAAAGGCUCAACCUUUGAAAGCCGAUGGAUACUGCAGGGCUAGAGUCCGGAAGAGGCGAGUGGAAUUCCUGGUGUAGCGGUGAAAUGCGCAGAUAUCAGGAAGAACACCAAUGGCGAAAGCAGCUCUCUGGGACGGUACUGACGCUGAGACGCGAAAGCGUGGGGAGCGAACAGG